Molecule: ribosomal RNA, 253 nt
Filed under: uncultured bacterium
Lineage: Bacteria
Description: partial 16S ribosomal RNA
Rfam family: Bacterial small subunit ribosomal RNA
Source: RNAcentral
UACGUAGGGUGCAAGCGUUGUCCGGAAUUAUUGGGCGUAAAGAGCUCGUAGGCGGUUCGUCGCGUCGGCUGUGAAACCCCGAGGCUCAACCUCGGGUCUGCAGUCGAUACGGGCGGACUGGAGUUCGGCAGGGGAGACUGGAAUUCCUGGUGUAGCGGUGAAAUGCGCAGAUAUCAGGAGGAACACCGGUGGCGAAGGCGGGUCUCUGGGCCGAUACUGACGCUGAGGAGCGAAAGCGUGGGGAGCGAACAGG